Molecule: ribosomal RNA, 691 nt
Filed under: Floridosentis pacifica
Lineage: Eukaryota; Metazoa; Acanthocephala; Eoacanthocephala; Neoechinorhynchida; Neoechinorhynchidae
Also listed under: 1 other name
Description: eukaryotic LSU rRNA
Rfam family: Eukaryotic large subunit ribosomal RNA
Source: RNAcentral
GCGCAAUUUGUUGAGGUGGAGUCCUGAUGAGGGACUUGCCGCAAUAUUUUGUGCAUGUUGCAUUUGGCAGCUUGGCGUUCUGCUUGGCUUUGCUGGGGCGAUACUUGCAGUGAAGCAUGCUUACCACUUGUUUGGUUCGCAUAUCACUUGUGACCUUCUGAUUUUGAAAGAUGAAGGAAAUUUAACGUGGGAAGCUGUACGUUGUUGAGAUGACGGCAGUUGUCUGCCAAGGCAAGGUUUGGCAAACUCACAUUCACACUCUCAUCAGUUGUCGAUUGCUUAACCGCAGUUGCACAACGAGGGAUUGAAUGCUGAAAGCAGAUUCGUUUGUGGCAUCAUUCGAACCGUCUUGAAACACGGGCUAAGGAGUUCAACAGAUGCGCGAGUUUACUGGUCCGGCGAAACCAGAAGGCUAAGUUAACGCGACUUUGUGUAUUAUAGUGAGAACUCGGUCCUGCAUUCGCAGGUCGAGGUCAUCACUUAUGAUGGAUGGCAUGUUGGGUACCGAUUGCUGUUCGCAGUCGAGCGCAUGUGCUGAGACCCGAAAGAUGGUGAACUAUGCUUGAGUAGGAUGAAGCCGGAGGAAACUCUGGUGGAGGUCCGAAGCGUUUUUGACGUGCAAAUCAAUCGUCAGACUUGGGUAUAGGGGCGAAAGACUAAUCGAACCAUCUAGUAGCUGGUUCCCUUCGAA